GUCAUUUCAAAAGUGGACAGCAGGAUCGAAAAGUUGACAUGAACUCAUGCAGAAUAAAUGAUCACAAAAUAAAUUAUCUAAGAUUCCCUCUAAACCCUGACCUCCAGCCCCCCUUUCAUUCCUGCUUCCAGACCUCUGAAGUGAACCCUGCUUGUGCAACAUCCACACAGUAAAAUUAUAAUGGAGACUUAGUGUUUUGACAGUAAGAGGGGAAAAAAAAAAAGUUAUGUCAUUUGUCCUCUUCUGUAUUCAAGUGGUUUCUAACAGAUUCCAGAGACAUAUUCAUGGCUGCCUGAAGCAUGUCUUCUUCACUCAUAUCACCUCCUACAGAAAAGAAAUGCAUGUUUCUUUUCUUCAUAGGAACCACCUGGGAAUAACAAAAUUCAGGUACUGUUAGGAAAACAUGUUAAGAGAUUAAAGUUAAGCUGGACCUCAGUCAGAAACCCAUCCACACCCCCAAAAGCACUGAAAAAUACAUGUACUUCCACAUACAGUUUUCUAUCAACUACUUUACUUUUC
Molecule: long non-coding RNA, 519 nt
Organism: Grus americana (Whooping crane)
Lineage: Eukaryota; Metazoa; Chordata; Aves; Gruiformes; Gruidae
Exons: 3
Source: RefSeq, a predicted model, not a curated record